GACGAACGCUGGCGGCGUGCUUAACACAUGCAAGUCGAACGGAAAGGCCCUGCUUUUGUGGGGUGCUCGAGUGGCGAACGGGUGAGUAACACGUGAGUAACCUGCCCUUGACUUUGGGAUAACUUCAGGAAACUGGGGCUAAUACCGGAUAGGAGCUCCUGCUGCAUGGUGGGGGUUGGAAAGUUUCGGCGGUUGGGGAUGGACUCGCGGCUUAUCAGCUUGUUGGUGGGGUAGUGGCUUACCAAGGCUUUGACGGGUAGCCGGCCUGAGAGGGUGACCGGCCACAUGGGGACUGAGAUACGGCCCAGACUCCUACGGGAGGCAGCAGUGGGGAAUAUUGCACAAUGGGCGGAAGCCUGAUGCAGCAACGCCGCGUGCGGAUGACGGCCUUCGGGUUGUAAACCGCUUUCGCCUGUGACGAAGCGUGAGUGACGGUAAUGGGUAAAGAAGCACCGGCUAACUACGUG
Molecule: ribosomal RNA, 467 nt
Filed under: uncultured bacterium
Lineage: Bacteria
Description: partial 16S ribosomal RNA
Rfam family: Bacterial small subunit ribosomal RNA
Source: RNAcentral